Pelobates cultripes (western spadefoot toad) is the source of this 250-nucleotide non-coding RNA. Lineage: Eukaryota; Metazoa; Chordata; Amphibia; Anura; Pelobatidae. The record is from the annotation of a GenBank genome assembly.
CGAUGACCACCCUGCAUUCGGUUUAAUUGAGAAGUGUCUGCGGUUAACCACAACGUUCUAAUUGGGAUCAAUAGGUUAACCAGCAGCACACUUCUCUCCUGGGUGGCCGUCCGUUCGGCAGGUUUGUUCGGGAAAAAGAGUCAUUCGAAUGGCUGGGCUAUAGAAACCAGUCAUUCAUACGAACGGGAGACAAACAGACAAAUGCAAUUAAAAUACAAGCAGACAGAUGGUUCUGUCACAGCGAUUGACU